UUUUUUGUGGCAUUGUACAAACCACUUAAUCUCUGCUUUUUGUUUCCUUACCUAUAAAAGUUACCAACCUCGCGGUGGUAAAUGACAAAGCUGUUUGUCGAGUGCUCUGAAAUCCUCUCAUGAAAGGUUUAGUACAGAAUUAACUUUAUCUGAGUCCAGGGCUCAAAAAAAUCUUAUCACUGGCAAAUAGGAAGACAAAUUCCUAGCCUUAACGGCUGUUAAUACUCUGAUUUACUUUCGAUGGUUGUAUGUUUGCAGAAUCUGUAAAAGUACUCAACUGCCGCUCCAUUUUGCGGUGCAUCUCUAGUGUGAAACUGACAUUUAAAAAUGUUUCAGUGACGGUAAUUCCAAACUUUGUGGGCGAACAAACUCUUAAAUUGACACUGUUUAGGAAAACAUCAACAAAGGUAGACAUUGAUCCUUCCCUAUAAGUUACUCACUCUCCUCAAACUUCUGUUUCUGGCAUUAAUGAGCAGACCUCUUUCCUUGCUGAAUCCUUUUUCCCACUUGCAUCAGUGAGGGGACUGGAGAGUUGAAGAGAUGGUAUGUUUAUUUCUUCUAGGGGCUAGGGAAAGUGAAACUUAAUUUACAAAAAGCCAGAGCCUUGAUCAGAACAUGGCUCUUUCCUCUUGAUUGGGGAAAUUCAAGUAAGUGGUGCAGUUUGGACUGCUUGCCAGGCUUUUGCCAAGGCAUCUUGCUGGUAUUGCUCACUUCUCUUCAUCUUUCAUGUAAUCUGGCUUAAUAGAUGUAAUUCUCUAGCUAUAUUAAAUGUAUUACAAAAAUUGUCAUGCCCUGGUAGAGUUCAGUUACUGUAAUGAGCAGUUAUGCUCUUGGCAAUUGAACAACUCCUAAUGUUUUGGAUAAUUCAGCUGCUGCUUAUGUCAAUAAAUAUCUUGACUUGUCAUCUACUGUGUACUGGACCAGUUGUAAUUCAAAAGAUGUUACAUGUAAGCAUUGUGUGAGGUCUACUGCAUAUACAUAAUUUACACUCACAUUAUUUUCCUAAUUCUUUCCUCCAAGAAUGGCAGCUGUGCUAAUGAAGGAAACCAUUGCAAUGGGCAUUAAUGCAACAAGUCAUUUGCCUCUACUUGAAACAAUGUUCUUAUAAAUAGUGUCUUGAUGAUCCAGCUGAUAUAUUCAUCACUCCUUGUAGUCCUGGUUGUCCCAGAAUGCACUGGUAUGCUUAGUAACUGUCCUAAUGUUGCAGGGAACCAAAGUCACUUGCUGAUCAAGUGCAGAUCAUUUCAUGUGUGGGGAGUGAAUUAGCAGAUGGCCAUGUAGCUGUAAUGUUUUUGUUCCCACAGUUGUAUCAGCAGUUCAGUUUGGUCUGAAAGCUUUGUCCUAUGUGUUAAUUAAUUCAGUAAGUCAUACCAUUUGCACAUUCCAGCUACAAUUAAUGCAAGAGCUGUGCAUGUCUUGGGUCACACUCAAUGUUCCCACCUAGUGGCUUUUGCCAUCAUCUCUUCUGGUGUGAAAAGGGUGCUGAAGAGCAUUCAGCUUCUUGAAGUCCAGCCUAGGCCUAAACGUAUUCAGUUACCACUUAAGGAGAAGAAACUACAUUUCCUCACUGUUUUGCAAUAUACAAUGUACUAACACAUUUCCUUUCUUCAGUUACAGAGUGACUGGAAGAAAGCGGUGGAACAAUGGAUGCGUGUUGGGAAAUCUGAGGAUAACUAGUGCAACACACAAAUUUUAACGACCUCUAAAAGUGGUCUUGGCCAGCAUUCAGGGUGUGCAGAUGUUAAUGUUAGGUUUGAAGAAAAAGGUGUUAAUUACUAUUUUAGAGCUGUUCUUGUUGGAGCAUUGCUGCAUGAAAGGUUACUCCCCUCAGAUGUUACCAUUAGUAUCUCCUUUAUAGCUGAAAAGUGUGAACUAAGUGGCUAUUGUCUGGCUUUUGUAACUGUCCACUUCCAAGAAGUAAGUGUGGGUGUACUAAUGUUGAUGCUGCAGCAGAACAAACAUUCCUGUGCUACUGUUAGGCCUUGUCUACACUGCAGAGUCUUAUCCAGAAAAGGCAGCCUUUGUCAGCAAAUCUGUGGAGGUGUACACACUGCAGUGCCACUUUUGGUGGCAAAGUUAAAGCAACAAAGUGUCAGUGUAGAUGCUGCUGUUCCUUAUAUUGCCAGUACUCGCCUCCCCCAGUAUUUUUCAGUGCCCGUUGUGACUGAUCUGCUCACUAUUUAGAACUCGGCUGCCCUGCAUGCAUGUGCCCCAUCCCUUUCAAAGCUCCAGGAAGUUCUGGAAUUUCUGACAGUUGAGCUCCAGCAGCAAAGAGCAAAUCAUUAAUGUGGAAUGCUGCUGUCUCCUGUACUAGGAACAUAGAGGCAGGUGUGUGCGUAUGAGAAACUGCUGUGCAGAGCCAGGUGGGAGCUGAUGUGUGCGUGAGGAGAAGAGGGAGGGUGUCUCCCUGGCUCAGGACUGGCUGAUUCCAGCAGCUGUCAAAGCCUACGCACUCACACUCCUCCCCCCUCCCCCCCCCCACCUUCAGUUAAAAAGCAGAUGGCAAUCUAGUAGAAUGCCCAAGGAACCAUGAGCUUGAGAAACCUGCACCAUGUGAUGCUGUUCUGUGCCUACCCCAUGAUACCUUGCAAAUCCUUCGUAAAGCACCCUGUGGCCGGUUGCACAGUGGGAUAGCUAUCCACAGUGUACUGCUCUGGGUCGAUACAAGAGCAACUAGUGUGGAUGUGCUGCACUGACACAAGGAGCAUAGUGUGGACAUGCAACAGCGGUUUAAUUGAAGUGGCAUACCUUCUGUUGAUAAAACUCUGGAGUGUAGACAGCUUUAGUGAACGGUUUGCAGAAACAGUUCUGCUGAGCUGAAAAUGGAACGACAAAUCACUUACGCAAAAGCAACUGCCCACUCUGGGAGGGAGGACUUGCAGACACAAGAAAAUUUUUAUGUUUCAGGGUAUUCUGCAUAGGCAACUUAAUUUUCCGACCUUUAGAUCUUUUUUGGGGGGUAGGAGGCGGGAGAGUUCUUUCGUACUACAUGCCACAAUUUGACCUAUGAGUUAUGGUGGCAGUUUUGUAGGGAGUUGUCCACCACCUAACAUAACUGCGUUUGUCCUCUAAAGUGAAUUUUUUGGAAAUUGCAAGAGCAGAAAUAGAUUUUUCCCUUUUGGAUCAGAGGUAAUAGUCAUGAACCUAAAAUGAGAUAUAGAGGACUUCUGGGGAAUGUUCAUAUCCAUCCUUGGAGUUAUUGGUACCCUUGUACCAGCUAGCAUCUUUCAUAAAUGGUUACUUCCAGAUGCGAUCCUUCUAAGGUAGAGCUAAUUAGUUUGUAUGGAAUCUUGUCUUUUAAGUACAUCUCCAGGUUGUCUGUAUUGCAUUUGUACUCUGUAUUACGCAUGUUUAUUGCUUAUUUUGCCAAUAUAUGGAACAAGUGAAAUCCAAUUUUCAACCAUCACUAAUUCUGUAUGCUAUCCCUCAUCUUUCUCAUUGGUGAAAAUGCAUAGUCAUGGUUAAUAAACUUUACAUUGACUGAACGUGUGAUAGAUGCAAAGUGGUAUAAGUGAAGCAGCUAAGCUUCAAUUUACAAAUACGGUCAUUGAGAAUGUUCGUGCCUGUGCUUGUCCCUGACCUAGCUGUCCAGACAAAGGAUGGCUUGAAAUGAAGGUACUAACUGUGUGUGUGUGUUACUAUACAAAUUCUGAGUUCAACACUGCAUUUUAACUAGAUCUUACAGAAACAAGUGUAGCGGUAUGUUAUUCAUUCAGUUGGGGUGGGGGGACUAAUUCUAAAACUUCUAAAGGUUAAGCAAAAUAUCUACCUAGUGUUCAUCCUGUGUGCCCAAACUCCAAUGUGUAUGUUCCCUGGUGCGUAGUAUCUACCUGUUAUAAAAAUCCAGCUUCCCCCACUUCUACAGUUGAUGUAGGCAUUGUGGAUGCAAAAAAUUUUCACUUUCAACUAGGCCAGGAGAUUAGUGUGCGGGGAAGUUCUGAAUGGUGGACAUAGCUUGAGUCUACACAAUUUGUAGUAAGAGUGCUGCUGUAGAAUUUUAGGUCAUGCUUAUCAUAUUGUACAUGGGUUGUAGACUUCUAUAUUAAUAUGUAUAUUAAAGGUGCACAACUCCUGGAAUACUAACAAAAUCCAGUUUUUGCUUGGAAUAGUGCUGAUCUCUGAUGGGAGUGACUACAGUUACAUAUAAUACAAUGAACCUUUGUACUAUGUACGUUACGAGUAAUUCUCUUCUAAAUUCUGGUGCUAGUCUUAGCAUUUCAUAAUUGUUAAGCAAGUGUAAGGUUAAUGGAACUCUUGAAAUGUCUGGUUUUGAACGCAUUUCUUAACUACCAAAUAAUAUCUCAGCUUAGUUCUAUACCUGCCUCCAUUCUUGUACAUGUUUUCUGUAGUUAUGUAAAGCUGUUUAACAAAACUGACCAUAAUAUAAAAAGAGAACGUGUGGGAAUUGGGGAACAAGUUUUAAUUAACAUGAAUAGUUAUACCACACCCCUUUCAACUCACCUUGUCAGCUGACCACCAAAGUCAGCCCAAUGGACUCUUGAUUAUGUUCAGUAGCUGUGUUUUCAGUACCCAGAAUUCUGCUACCAAAGAAUCCAUAUCACUAGUUUAGGUGAGCAACUUGAGGUGUGCUGGUGGGGCUUUCUUCGCUAGAGAGGGAUGAGCACUCAUGGAAGGAUAAAGGUGGCACACUAAUCACUAAUUUUUUUCUCUGAACAGGUUAUCUUUAAAACUAAAAAAAUUCAGGGUCUGAUUUAUUUUUAAAACAUGCAGUUGAAUGCAAAUAACUAUGAAGGAAUGAUUGCUUAUUGAGGCAAUCAUGGUAAUUGUGGAUGCAAAUUACUGGUAGGCAUUGAAAAACAAACUCAUGGGGUCCACAAAAAAACCAUGGCACUGCUAUGCUCCCCCCCUU
Chrysemys picta bellii (western painted turtle) is the source of this 4870-nucleotide non-coding RNA. NCBI's taxonomy places the organism in Eukaryota, Metazoa, Chordata, Testudines, Emydidae. The record is from RefSeq and is a predicted model, not a curated record.